Gavialis gangeticus (Gharial) is the source of this 727-nucleotide long non-coding RNA. RefSeq lists it as uncharacterized. The record is from RefSeq and is a predicted model, not a curated record. Lineage: Eukaryota; Metazoa; Chordata; Crocodylia; Gavialidae. The transcript is spliced from 3 exons.
CCUCCCCUGGAGAAACAUUAGUUAGGCCAGGGCAGCUUAUGGACAACCCCCCACCUGGCUCCUUGGGACACGCAAGUCAGUGGGGCACCGGGUCUCCUACCGGGGAGUGACACUCAGGGGGAGGCAGCCUCACUAGGAGAGGCAGAAGGAAGGGACCCCCUAGAGAACUUUUGUGCCUCACAUUUUGGAGUGUUUUAUUGAUUGCUUGACACAUGCAUGUAUCUUCGGAGUGUUUACUAACUAUUAACUGUACGCCUUGUGUUUAGAGUGUCAUUUAUUGUGGCACUUGCCUGUUCAUAUCAGUUGGACCAUUAUGCUUACCUGCUUGUAUAUGGAAUUGCUGUCAAAUGGAUCUGGUCAGAGUGCACCAUGGAGGAACUCCAGUUUCAGAGAGCAGAGCACUGGACUUGGGACUCCAGAGAACCGAGCUCUACUUGCAGUUCUGCCAUUGGCCUGCUGGCCACGUCAUUUGUCCUGCCUGUUCCUCAUCUGUAAAACAGGACAGGCAGAGAUGAAUUUUCUCCAUUUGAAAACAUAGGCAUUUACCACAGCUUCAAGCCAGUGUACUGCGAGCAGCAUGGAAAUUCUUGUUGUUCUGUGACAAGACUGAACACAAUGCAUAAUAAUUUUUUUCUUUAGGCUUGUUUAGAAAGCAGAGUGCUGUGCAUUUCCUUGGAGUUUCCACUUGGGGCUCUGAUUAAAAACACAAAAAACAACCUGACUGACA